UCCCUAAUGAUGCUGGCCUGAGCCUGAGCUUAAACUGUUGCUCUUGAGAUCUGGAUCUGAGGGG
This 64-nucleotide small nucleolar RNA is filed under the name Drosophila erecta. Its description in RNAcentral is "snoRNA:GG26079". Lineage: Eukaryota; Metazoa; Arthropoda; Insecta; Diptera; Drosophilidae. The record is from RNAcentral.